GACGAACGCUGGCGGCGUGCUUAACACAUGCAAGUCGAACGGAAAGGCCCUGCUUUUGUGGGGUGCUCGAGUGGCGAACGGGUGAGUAACACGUGAGUAACCUGCCCUUGACUUUGGGAUAACUUCAGGAAACUGGGGCUAAUACCGGAUAGGAGCUCCUGCUGCAUGGGGGGGGUUGGAAAGUUUCGGCGGUUGGGGAUGGACUCGCGGCUUAUCAGCUUGUUGGUGGGGUAGUGGCUUACCAAGGCUUUGACGGGUAGCCGGCCUGAGAGGGUGACCGGGCACAUUGGGACUGAGAUACGGCCCAGACUCCUACGGGAGGCAGCAGUGGGGAAUAUUGCACAAUGGGCGGAAGCCUGAUGCAGCAACGCCGCGUGCGGGAUGACGGCCUUCGGGUUGUAAACCGCUUUAGCCUGUGACGAAGCGUGAGUGACGGUAAUGGGUAAAGAAGCACCGGCUAACUACGUG
RNAcentral lists this ribosomal RNA (468 nucleotides) under uncultured bacterium. Its description in RNAcentral is "partial 16S ribosomal RNA". It matches the Rfam family "Bacterial small subunit ribosomal RNA", at positions 28 to 507 of the family's 1533-position model. The record is from RNAcentral.